This 468-nucleotide ribosomal RNA is filed under the name uncultured bacterium. RNAcentral's name for it is "partial 16S ribosomal RNA". It matches the Rfam family "Bacterial small subunit ribosomal RNA", at positions 28 to 507 of the family's 1533-position model. The record is from RNAcentral.
GACGAACGCUGGCGGCGUGCUUAACACAUGCAAGUCGAACGGAAAGGCCCUGCUUUUGUGGGGUGCUCGAGUGGCGAACGGGUGAGUAACACGUGAGUAACCUGCCCUUGACUUUGGGAUAACUUCAGGAAACUGGGGCUAAUACCGGAUAGGAGCUCCUGCUGCAUGGUGGGGGUUGGAAAGUUUCGGCGGUUGGGGAUGGACUCGCGGCUUAUCAGCUUGUUGGUGGGGUAGUGGCUUACCAAGGCUUUGACGGGUAGCCGGUCUGAGAGGGUGACCGGCCACAUUGGGACUGAGAUACGGCCCAGACUCCUACGGGAGGCAGCAGUGGGGAAUAUUGCACAAUGGGCGGAAGCCUGAUGCAGCAACGCCGCGUGCGGGAUGACGGCCUUCGGGUUGUAAACCGCUUUCGCCUGUGACGAAGCGUGAGUGACGGUAAUGGGUAAAGAAGCACCGGCUAACUACGUG